AGGUCGUCGCGCUGCGGGUGCGCGGGCUGCUGGAGCGGCGGCGAAGGCGUGAGGCCGAGCUGUCCGGCCUGUUCGACACCGCCAGCGACCUG
Molecule: transfer RNA, 92 nt
Filed under: Rhizocola hellebori
Lineage: Bacteria; Bacillati; Actinomycetota; Actinomycetes; Micromonosporales; Micromonosporaceae
Description: tRNA-Leu
Source: RNAcentral